Molecule: long non-coding RNA, 412 nt
Organism: Herpailurus yagouaroundi (jaguarundi)
Lineage: Eukaryota; Metazoa; Chordata; Mammalia; Carnivora; Felidae
Exons: 2
Source: RefSeq, a predicted model, not a curated record
CGUGCAACGUGCACACACCUGGCCGCCGGCUGCACGGCAUCGAGGGGGCUGUCGGUCACCCCCAUGCCGCCGUCCGCCCCCACGCACGCUCCCUCGGCUGCACCCGGGGCGCCCCGCCUGCCCCCCAGGCCUGCCUCUCACAGCCGGCGCUCGCUAACAGGGCGAACUACGCCGAGUAGGGAUGAACACAGCGCAGCUUCUGAACGCGGACUGCCAGCCGGGACAGACCCGGAAAUUUAAACUCGGCAUCCAGAUUUGACCAACCAAAGAGAGGCAGAGAAAACAGACUUCAUGUAUUUAUUCAUUCAUUUAUUAUUUAUUUAUUAUUCUUUAUGGAGCCGGGCUCUGUCUUUGUUGUCAGUAUGGUCAUUUUUCACUUUCUUAAAAAAAUAAAUAAAUAAAAGCAACCAUA